GUAGGGAAUAUUGGGCAAUGGAGGCAACUCUGACCCAGCCAUGCCGCGUGCAGGAUGAAGGCGCUCAGCGUUGUAAACUGCUUUUAUCGAUGAAGAACUGUAGAUCUGCGGAUUUAUUUGACGGUAAUCGAGGAAUAAGCACCGGCUAACUCCGUGCCAGCAGCCGCGGUAAUACGGAGGGUGCGAGCGUUGUCCGGAUUUAUUGGGUUUAAAGGGUGCGUAGGUGGGAUCGUAAGUCUGAUUUGAAAGCAGGCGGCUUAACCGUCUGAUGUGGUUGGAAACUGCGGUUCUUGAAUGGGUUGGCGGUAGCCGGAAUGGGUCAUGUAGCGGUGAAAUGCAUAGAUAUGACCCGGAACACCGAUUGCGAAGGCAGGCUACUACGACUUGAUUGACACUGAGGCACGAGAGCAUGGGUAGCGAACAGG
RNAcentral lists this ribosomal RNA (425 nucleotides) under uncultured Spirosoma sp. RNAcentral describes it as "bacterial SSU rRNA". It matches the Rfam family "Bacterial small subunit ribosomal RNA", at positions 354 to 776 of the family's 1533-position model. The record is from RNAcentral. Lineage: Bacteria; Pseudomonadati; Bacteroidota; Cytophagia; Cytophagales; Cytophagaceae.